AGUAAACGCUGGCGGUAGGCCUAACACAUGCGAGUCGAACGGCAGCACAGUAAGAGCUUGCUCUUACGGGUGGCGAGUGGCGGACGGGUGAGGAAUACAUCGGAAUCUACUUUUUCGUGGGGGAUAACGUAGGGAAACUUACGCUAAUACCGCAUACGACCUACGGGUGAAAGCAGGGGAUCUUCGGACCUUGCGCGAUUGAAUGAGCCGAUGUCGGAUUAGCUAGUUGGCGGGGUAAAGGCCCACCAAGGCGACGAUCCGUAGCUGGUCUGAGAGGAUGAUCAGCCACACUGGAACUGAGACACGGUCCAGACUCCUACGGGAGGCAGCAGUGGGGAAUAUUGGACAAUGGGCGCAAGCCUGAUCCAGCCAUACCGCGUGGGUGAAGAAGGCCUUCGGGUUGUAAAGCCCUUUUGUUGGGAAAGAAAAGCAGCAGGUUAAUACCCCGCUGUUCUGACGGUACCCAAAGAAUAAGCACCGGCUAACUUCGUG
This 492-nucleotide ribosomal RNA is filed under the name uncultured bacterium. RNAcentral describes it as "partial 16S ribosomal RNA". It matches the Rfam family "Bacterial small subunit ribosomal RNA", at positions 29 to 507 of the family's 1533-position model. The record is from RNAcentral.